CUUCUUUUUCACCGGAGCUUGCUCCACCGGAAAAAGAGGAGUGGCGAACGGGUGAGUAACACGUGGGUAACCUGCCCAUCAGAAGGGGAUAACACUUGGAAACAGGUGCUAAUACCGUAUAACAAUCGAAACCGCAUGGUUUUGAUUUGAAAGGCGCUUUCGGGUGUCGCUGAUGGAUGGACCCGCGGUGCAUUAGCUAGUUGGUGAGGUAACGGCUCACCAAGGCCACGAUGCAUAGCCGACCUGAGAGGGUGAUCGGCCACAUUGGGACUGAGACACGGCCCAAACUCCUACGGGAGGCAGCAGUAGGGAAUCUUCGGCAAUGGACGAAAGUCUGACCGAGCAACGCCGCGUGAGUGAAGAAGGUUUUCGGAUCGUAAAACUCUGUUGUUAGAGAAGAACAAGGAUGAGAGUAACUGUUCAUCCCUUGACGGUAUCUAACCAGAAAGCCACGGCUAACUACGUGCCAGCAGCCGCGGUAAUACGUAGGUGGCAAGCGUUGUCCGGAUUUAUUGGGCGUAAAGCGAGCGCAGGCGGUUUCUUAAGUCUGAUGUGAAAGCCCCCGGCUCAACCGGGGAGGGUCAUUGGAAACUGGGAGACUUGAGUGCAGAAGAGGAGAGUGGAAUUCCAUGUGUAGCGGUGAAAUGCGUAGAUAUAUGGAGGAACCCAGUGGCGAGGCGGCUCUCUGGUCUGUACUGACGCUGAGCUCGAAGCG
RNAcentral lists this ribosomal RNA (715 nucleotides) under uncultured bacterium. Its description in RNAcentral is "bacterial SSU rRNA". It matches the Rfam family "Bacterial small subunit ribosomal RNA", at positions 69 to 761 of the family's 1533-position model. The record is from RNAcentral.